GUAAUCUCUUGCCGCAGAGGAGGAACACGGGAUCCCCAGCCAGAUGGUCCAUGGGUGACUUCACAGCACAUGUGCUACCUCCAAGAGUUCUUCAUUCCCAUGGUCCACAUGAAGAAAAUGGACCCCAAAGGAACAAAAGCAACAAAGAUAAAAAUUCCUUCUCCUCCCAUGGGGGUGGGAGGUGAAGAAUGAAGCAAGCAAACACUCAUAGAGAAAUGUGCAGAGUUCUCUGAGGAACAAGGACCUUCCAGAGUGAUGCUUUUCCCUAGUGGCAGCCUUGGCCAGGGCAACAGACAUCUGCACAAACGCAGGGUGUUGAAGCAGCUGUUCUGAGAUGCAGUGCCUGAGAAUCUGGGAUCCACAAUGUGAACUUCUCAACAACCCCUGCACCUGCCACUUCCCUGAAUCUUCCACUAAGCACCAGAAGACACAUGCAUUUUAAAUCAAAGGAAUGGCUCCCAUGCAGAAACCAGAGUGUUAAAAUGGAUCCCUCCCACCCUGAACUCUGACUGGUUUGGUUCACCUCAAAGACCAUCCUCCUGCUAUAUGGUUUAGAUAAGUCUAAAAAGAUGAGCCAUUCAAGCCACAGUGUCUUCUAUCUCCAAGCUGGUGAGACACACUGCAGUCCUCUACAGAACAGAAGAGAGACAGUGCACAGGAUUGCUCUUGGGUAAGGUUUCUUUUUCUUAUGUAAUGAAUGGGUUACUCUUCAGCCCUUAGAAUAAAAA
Molecule: non-coding RNA, 728 nt
Filed under: Pan troglodytes (chimpanzee)
Lineage: Eukaryota; Metazoa; Chordata; Mammalia; Primates; Hominidae
Source: RNAcentral